Molecule: ribosomal RNA, 1044 nt
Filed under: uncultured soil eukaryote
Lineage: Eukaryota
Description: SSU rRNA
Rfam family: Eukaryotic small subunit ribosomal RNA
Source: RNAcentral
UAGUAAUUCUAGAGCUAAUACAUGUGAGCAACUGUGCAGGGGCAACCCUGUACGCGCAUUGGCGAACUUUAAAACCAACGGGUGUAAAAGCCCUGAGGGGUGAAUUAGCUGAUGCUGUAGACCGCAGAGGCUUUUGGCCGGCGGCGGCCGUUUUAAAUUUCUGCCCUAUCAACUUUCGAUGGCAGUGCAGUGUACAGCCAUGGUUUUGACGGGUAACGGGGAACCAGGGUUCGGUUCCGGAGAGGGAGCCUGAGAGAUGGCUACCACUUCUAAGGAAGGCAGCAGGCGCGCAAAUUACCCAAUGAUAGUUCAUCGAGGUAGUGACAAUAAAUAACAAUCCUGGCCACAUUCGUGGUUGGGAAUUGGAAUGAGCACAAUUUAAAUCCCUUAACAAGGAACAAUUGGAGGACAAGUCUGGUGCCAGCACCCGCGGUAAUUCCAGCUCCAAUAGCGUAUAUUAAAGUUGUUGUAGUUAAAAAGCUCGUAGUUGAAAUUCAGGGUUUAGCCUGCAUGGUCUGCCGGGAAGGUGUGAACUUGCUUGCUUGCCCAUAUUACCGCACUGGCGGAGGCUGUCCUUAACUGGAUGUCCCGAGCCAAGCGGACGUUUACUUUGAAAAAAUUAGAGUGUUUAAAGCAGGCUCUAUCAGCAUGAAUAGAUUAGCAUGGGAUAAUGGAACAAGGCAACGUCUUGAUUUCGUUGGUUUUUACGGACGCUGCAAUGAUUAAUAGGAAUUGUCGGGGGUAUUCAUAUUUUGCGGUCAGAGGUGAAAUUCUUGGAUUCGUGAAAGAUGAACUAUUGCGAAAGCAUUUAUCAAGGAUGUUUUCAUUGAUCAAGAACGAUAGUUUGGGGAUCGAAGACGAUCAGAUACCGUCGUAGUCCAAACUGUAAACGAUGCCGACCAGCAAUGUGGCGACGUUACAUGGAAGACUCCCUCUGAGGCUUGCGAGAAAUCAUAAGUCUUUGGGUUCCGGGGGGAGUAUGGUCGCAAGGCUGAAACUUAAAGGAAUUGACGGAAGGGCACACCAGGAGUGGAGCCUGCGGCU